Molecule: transfer RNA, 73 nt
Filed under: Ailuropoda melanoleuca (giant panda)
Lineage: Eukaryota; Metazoa; Chordata; Mammalia; Carnivora; Ursidae
Rfam family: tRNA
About the family: Transfer RNA (tRNA) molecules are approximately 80 nucleotides in length.
Source: Rfam by way of RNAcentral
GCCCGGCUGGUUCAGUUGGAAGAGCAUAUGACUCUUGAUCUUGAGGUCGUGAGUUCAAGCCCCAUGUUGGGUG